GUAGUCCACGCCGUAAACGAUGUCGACUAGCCGUUGGGAACCUUAGAGUUUCUUGUGGCGCAGCUAACGCGAUAAGUCGACCGCCUGGGGAGUACGGCCGCAAGGUUAAGACUCAAAUGAAUUGACGGGGGCCCGCACAAGCGGUGGAGCAUGUGGUUUAAUUCGAUGCAACGCGAAGAACCUUACCACCCCUUGACAUCCUGCGAACUUUCUAGAGAUAGAUUGGUGCCUUCGGGAGCGCAGAGACAGGUGCUGCAUGGCUGUCGUCAGCUCGUGUUGUGAAAUGUUGGGUUAAGUCCCGUAACGAGCGCAACCCUUGUCCUUAGUUGCCAGCGAGUAAUGUCGGGAACUCUAAGGAGACUGCCGGUGACAAACCGGAGGAAGGUGGGGACGACGUCAAGUCAUCAUGGCCCUUACGGGGUGGGCUACACACGUGCUACAAUGGCCGGUACAGACGGUUGCAAACCCGCGAGGGGGAGCCAAUCCGAGAAAACCGGUCGUAGUCCGGAUUGCAGUCUGCAACUCGACUGCAUGAAGUCGGAAUCGCUAGUAAUCGCGGAUCAGCAUGCCGCGGUGAAUA
Molecule: ribosomal RNA, 580 nt
Filed under: uncultured Gammaproteobacteria bacterium
Lineage: Bacteria; Pseudomonadati; Pseudomonadota; Gammaproteobacteria
Description: bacterial SSU rRNA
Rfam family: Bacterial small subunit ribosomal RNA
Source: RNAcentral